UCUAACAAUUAUCUUUUUCUUUAAAUUUAUAGAUUUUAUUUUUCUUUCUAACUUAAGGGUUGUUUUUAAUUUUUUUUGUUAUGUUAUUGUGUAGGUGUUGUGUUAUUAGUUUUAUUGGUGUUUUCUAAUUCAUAAUUAUGAUUUAUUUUAGGUGCAUGAGUUGGUGUAGAGAAUUGGAUUGAAGAAAUAUAUUCAUUUUAUAUUUUUUUCGUAAUUUUAUUAUUGUUUUCUAAUUUUAAAUUUUAUAUAUUUUCUUUUUUUAUAUAGAUGCAUACUUUGAAGCAUCACAAAAUGAUAUUGUUGAAAUUGAGUUGUAAGAGAGAAUAUUUUAGUUUAAUUGAUUUAUUUUUUGAUAUAUUUAUGUAAAAUGAAU
RNAcentral lists this long non-coding RNA (373 nucleotides) under Lathyrus oleraceus (garden pea). RNAcentral describes it as "Pisum sativum (pea) long non-coding RNA (PSAT_LNC028906)". The record is from RNAcentral. Lineage: Eukaryota; Viridiplantae; Streptophyta; Magnoliopsida; Fabales; Fabaceae.